Diachasmimorpha longicaudata is the source of this 753-nucleotide long non-coding RNA. RefSeq lists it as uncharacterized. Lineage: Eukaryota; Metazoa; Arthropoda; Insecta; Hymenoptera; Braconidae. The record is from RefSeq and is a predicted model, not a curated record. The transcript has 3 exons.
UUUCAUUUGGACUGGGAGAAUGAACGUGAGAUAGUUGAUACAAAAGUUUCAACACUCACAAUCCACUUCAAUAACUUUCUGGUGAUACCUCUCAGUUUUGACAAUCAAUUUCUGGAUUGGGAAAGGAUUUCCGAAAGAUUCUUCGUCACUCCAGCAACUUUUUCACGAGCCGUUUCAGGGGACUAAAAUUGAUAGAUCCAAUAAAAUAGUUUUCGCAAUGGCGAAGAAAGAAUUGAAAUCAAUGAUUUUAUCGGAGAGUGUUAUCAGCACAGAAGUAACUGGGCUAAAAGGACAAAAGGGAUAAAAUUACACGGAGAGAAAUAUUCAGCAAAAAUUACGGAACUCGCGGUACGUUCGACGAUAUCGUAAUAGACUGGGAAAUUUGAUGAGACAGUAGCGUAAUUUUUCACAAAAAAUUCAAAUAAAAAUUACGCAACGUGCAGGAAAAAUUCCUUGCUAGUUUCCUCGGUCACUUUACUCCUGAGUUACGGAAAAGAUACGUAAUGAUUACCGAAUAUAUAUCUCUGUGUAUUUAAUCCCUGAACGAUUCGGAACGGUGGUAGAAUUUCAAUUUUCCGGAAGUUGAUUUCUCACUGCAGUGAUAUGGCAGUUGUCAAGUGGCGAAUACAUGACAAUGUUAAUCAUCAAGACAGGGCAUCGACACUCUCCCUAAAGAUCCCCGAAGGACAUUUGCGGAAGGAAACAGGAUUUGUUUUUAUAUUCCAGCCCUUUCCGCCCUCUUCGAGCUAAUUG